UUUAUCAGCAAGAACAACCGUUUAUAUUUGCUCACCCUCUUCCCUCCCUUCGAAUAGCAUCGUAGCCCUCCUCUUCCCACAACCGAUCACCCCACACUAUCAUCAGCUUGUCUUAUUGUUUUGUUUGUGUUUUCGUCAUUUUUUUGUUGUUCCGUCAUUUUUCCCUUUUUUGUUUAAUUUGAUUUUCUUUUUUUUGGUCUUAUUGUUCUUCUCUUUUUCCCUUUCUUCGCUUUUUUCCCUCCCUCGUUGUCCUCUCGUUUUUCUUUGUGCUCCGUUUUUCCGUUGUGUUGCUGUAUUUCUUUCUGCCUCUCGCCUUCCCUUCCCUCCCCCUCCCUCUAUCACUCACUCAUUCACUCUCUUUCUGUGCUUACCCCUCUUCGUUACCUGUUGUGUGUGUGUGUGCACGGUGCAGUGCGUGCCUGGUCUGUUUUUCGUCUUUCCCCCCUUCCCCCUUUUUUCGCUGUGAGUGUGCGAGCGGCUUGUGCAGCCGAAGUUGCUUUCGUGUGUGCUCGUGCUUUUUAUUUCCUUUCUUUUUUUUUCGUUGGGUUCCCUAUAUUGCUUGUGGACGAUUCUGUGUAUGCGUGUGUGCUUAUUGUGUUUGCGCAGGCGUUUGCGGCUGUUUGUAGUUCUCUCUUUUUUUUGUUUUGGCCAGCGCUGAAGCUUUUGGAUUGCUCUUUCCCUGUCUCGCUCUCGCUCUUUCUUGUUGGACCCGUUUUUCUCGGUAGUGCGAGUUUCCGCGAAUUCAAAAAAAAAAGACAACAAACCCCAGCCUUGUGUGUCUUCGAUCUGCCCAGCUCACAUCGCCUGCGCUUGUGCAAGCAAAAAAGAAAAAAAACAACCACAAACACAAACGAAAAGAAAGAUAAGAAACACAACGAAAACGGAGAAAAAAAACAAAAGCAAAAACAAACAAAGAAGAGUGUUUACCUUUUUUACUCUCAACCAGCACUAUCGUUAAACGUGUCACCCCAGCAUCUCUGACGAUUUUCUGCUCGUAAGUGCCCACCGCCGUUGUAGUAGUUCGCAGACGCAGACGCAUACGUUCUCUUGCUCAAUUUUUUUUCUAUCGCCUGCUUCCACGGUGCCAUUGUUUUUGCUGUUUGUUUCGUUUUCAAGUGUGUGUAUGCUUGCGUGCUCUUUUCACGGAAGUUCUCUUGGUUCACCUCAUUACGGGCACGCAACCACGCACACCACUGCGGAAGCAUAUCGGGAAUCUCAGCCCCUCCGCGCAAUCCCCCCUUUUUGUGAAGUCUGCAGAAGGUGGAAAAGGACAAGCACACACGCAAGACGUUGUUCUCCUUUUAUCUCUCUGUCUUUUUACGUGCGUGUGCGUGUGUGUGCCACCAUCCUUUUUUUUGUCUUCUCAUUAUUUUAACUUCUCUGACCUCGUCUCUCUCUCUCGGUGCUACGACGCACUGUACGUACGGCGGCGGCUUCCGAUCUUUUUUUAUUGGUCUUGACGCUUUCUCCCUCCCCCUUCUCUCUCCUUUUUGGGAUUACUGCGUCUACUAGUACCACCUGUUUUUUCUCUCUUCACUUCUCUCUGGUGGGUCUCUGUCUGCCUGGUACUCCAUUCCUUUACUACUGCAUCAUAUCACGUCCAUCGUAUCACCACGACCACCACCAAAAACUCUCUGCUCCUCUCAGACCUGUUCAACAUACAGAAGACACACACACACACAUACACGCACAAGGAAAGAAAUACAAACUUACUCCGUCACUCACGCAUCAUCUUCCCCCUUGAAAGAAUUUCACCCAUUCUUCCACCGAGCCACCUCAAGACGAAGGAACAACAGCUCUAUCUUUUUUUUUCGUGGUCUCUUAAUUCCUUUUACCCUCUUCUCUUUUUUUUUUCGUCGCUCGCUUGAGCUUCGAGCAGUUAGUCUGCGCUGCAUUGGCCGUCCUCCUUCAUCUGCUCCUCUCUUUUUUUUCUAUUUCUCUGUUUGCCCUCCCCACCUCCCUCCCUCCUCUCUCUCCGUGGUCUCUCUCGUUCUUUGAUUUCUUUGUCUUUUUUACUCGCUUGGCUGCUGUUGAGGUAUUACCUUCUCUUUUUUUAUGGUUUGCCCUUUUUGCACAGCUCAGUAAGGGAAGAAACUCCUCUCUCACUGUCUGCCUUUCCCUUCCCUUCCCUUCCCUUCCCUUCCCUUCUCUCUCUCGCUCUCCCUCCAUCUCCGCCUCCACCUUCCCCUCCCUUUGAUUCGGUUGUGUUGUGUGUUUGUCCUCCCUCACACUCUGUCGCUCAUCUGUGUGAAGUGUUUUCCUUUUGUUUGCCCCCCCCCCCUGCCCUUUUUACGCCGCUCUUAUCUCCUUGGUUCGGCUGGUGGCGGCUCCAGUGUAUGUUAUUUUCGCUGUUCAGCAUUCGAAUUGGGGUAUUCUGACACGUUUUUGCGUGUCCUUUCCUUUGUGCUUUUGAUCUUUGCUUGCUUCGCUUCCCCUCUUCCCUUAUUGUGUACCUUUAUCUUGAAGCUCGGGCCCUUUACGGCGGUUCUGUGUGCUCGUGUGCCCGCCUCACUCUUCGGGUGGUCUCCUCCUCCCUAUCCUCCCUCUGUUCCGUUUUCUCGUUCCCUCCCAUCUCUCUUCUCCUACUCCUACUGGUGUGCUGCGAGGGUGCGAUCGCGUACGUCUCUCUGUCUGAGAGAAGAGAAAGACGGAUAAAAAGCCACCGGAGCCGCUUGUUUCGUUUUCGUCUCUCUUAUUGUGUUGUAAAUUGGAGGGGGGCAAAAGGAAGAAGGGCUCUGCUCCUCGUCGACUCUAUUUUUUUUCCGUUUGACUUCUCUUGGGGUUUCGUGUUGCCGACUUCACCCUCUUCCGGUUUCCUCGUAGGAUAGGCACACACGGCUCUCUCUGUGUGACUAGCUUCCCAUUCAGCCUUACUUUUACUCCGAUUGCUUCAGUGCCUCUGUGCUUUUUCUUGGCGUAGAGAUCAAGGCGGAGGGAAAACAGACAGAAAAACGUCUUUAUUCCUGACCCCUCCCCUAACAGGACACCAACCGAAACCGACGAGCGUUGACACAGAAGGUGCACGACACAAGCACAUACACCAGCGAGAGGAGGUGCACAAGCAAAAACAAGCAAACACGGAGACUUAUCUUUUUCUCCUCUUGUCACUUCCUCUCCUUCUUUCCCUUUUCUCCCUAUUAUCCACCCCACGAUCAGCCUUCCUUUUUUUGUAAAGUUUUAAUCCCUUCUCCCUCUCUGUGUUUUACCCCCUCUCCCGUUUGUUCGCUAAAUCAACUUUCCCCCUUCGCCCGCUUCCUCCUUUUUCCCCUCCGUACAACUGUCCUACAUCAUCACGAGAGCAGCACUGCCCUUUCCACCUUUUUUUUUUUUCGUUUUUUUUUUGUUGUUUAUCAUUUGCCACAUCCAAACUCGCAGCUCAGGGUUACUAGAAGCACACCCUCUCUCCUUCCCCACCCACCCUCUCAAAAAAGAAAAAGAAACGAACACAACACAACAACAACUGCGCACCCCCUGGUACACACCUACGAGUCUUUUUUUUUAGCUCUCAUUUUUACCUUUAUUUAUUUCGGCUCUCCAUCUCUUGUGCCCACACACAAGUGUCACCCCAUCACUCGCUUUCUCUCGCUCUCUUUCCGUACAUCGCAAACACACACACACACACAAACCAACCGAGAAAAAAAUAAAACUAACUAUCCUCUUUUCCUUUCUCCACUCAAAGGAAAGUGCGGCGAGAAACAGAACAUCGCCGAGCCGAGCGACAGAGUAAGAAAGAGAAGCGCGUGAGCCUUCUCGAAGAGGGAGCAAGAAAACAUAAAGACGAGGAACAACAAAAAAUAAACAGAGUAGAGAACUUCUUCUUUCCAACUUUUCCUUCGGCUCAUCUCGCGUGGUGCAAGUCGCUCCCUGCCCAUCCCUGCGACCUCGCCGGCACGCCAGCGACAGCAGCCGAAAGAAAAGGGAAAGUCCAGGUGAGACAGACAGUCAAGAGAGAGAAGCUGCCGAAGUGAAAUUUCCUUCCUAUCCAGAGAGGCGUUCAAGCAGAUCGAUCCACGCGCACACGUAACAAAAAUAUCCCAAAACGUGAUCGAGUUCAUAUUAUCUAUUUCCACUCGUUUGCUUUUCUCUAUCUUCUAAACGCCAUCUUGUGAGUACUUUGGUUGUACUGAAAAGUGUCUAUAUAUACCACGAAGGAAGGAGCUCAACGAGCGCAAAACGAAGAGAAACAAAGGAGAGACGGUACGCACAUCAGUCUUUUUUUUGUCCUUUGCUGUCCCCCCCCCCACCCCUUCCCAAGAGAACAAAGCCGUUCCUGUCUCCCCACUUCUGCCCCUUUCAAACGUGCCUCCCUCACCUUUACUCGCGCCUCUUUGUCUGCUUUCUUUCUUUUCUUCUCACGUCCUCCCCCUUCACCCCCUCCUCUCUCACCUACCUCUUUCUUCCUGACUUAUCUGCCUCCCUAGAAAUCAUUCGGCCGCGAGGAUAGCGAUUCUCACAACUCUCGAACUCUCGCCUCUGCCCUCCUGCAUUGAUCUGGUCGUUUUUGUAUUUCGACAAGUUUCUUCGUUCUCUCUUUCCCCGUCGCCCGCUUCUUUUUGGUCUUUCGUUUUUGUUGUUUCUCGGCUUUCACUAGCCCGGGUUUAUUUUUCCGCCUCCUCAAUCGAUCUGCUUGCCUACAGUCAACUCCACGUGCGUCGUCUUUGGUUGACUUUAGUUGUUGCCAGCCUCGCUCUUGUUUUCUUGAAGUUAUUUUCUUUCCCACACUUGUGUAAAGUUAUUGCGUUUUCUCUUCCGUCUUUUGUUUUUGUUUUGCACUGAUUGUGCUUCGUUAGUGAUUCUUCCUCGUGUCUUCUCACCUUUCGUACUGCGCGCGCGGAGUUGACAUACUCCAUCAAGAUCUCCUGUGCUUCAUCUCUUUCUUUUUUUUCCCUUCACGCGUGUGCGUGGACGCCGUUGUCUCCCGUUUUUUUCCUUUGAGAGAAAAAAAAAGGGAUUGCCCACUUUCUGCCUUCUCUGCGCUCUCGCUUCUCUUUUUCUGUUUUCGGGGUUGUGUACCUUCGUUUCGAUUUUUUGUUCUGUCGUCGCCUCCAUCCGGCCCACCACUGCUUCUUUUGUGCAUUUCUUUUCUUUUUGUUGUUGCUCGAAGCGUGCAGUCUGUUUUCUUUGCUUUUUUUUUUCAAAUCUUGUCUUCGCUCGAUUUUCACCGCUUCAUUCUUGUUUCGUUCCGUAGCAAGGCAACGCGCAUACGCUUCGCGGCUUCGUGUCACUCGAUAAAGCAAGAAAGGCCGCAGCGUGGAGAGACGCAGAGGGACGAAAAACGAGGGCGAAGCACAGAAAUCACCGAAGCUCAGACGCAGCCAGAGGGAUACAAGCGGGGGAGGGGGAACGACACAUAGAGAAGAGCAGCGAAGAAAGGCGUUCUGUUUUUUCUUUCUCUACCGAUCCUAACGGCUAUUGGGUAGAGGAAGCACAAGCACACGGGGAUUCUGGUACGUGAUAAUUCCUUUUUCCACCUCUACCCUGCACAGGAAAUAACGUUCCUUUCAAAAUAAAAGAAGCGUUACACAAAGUAGACCGCGUCGCCUGUGGAAAGAGCUACUUAUAAUUUUCUCUUUCACAUACGUACACAUACACUCACGUGGCCGCGGCUGCUCUCCCUUUCUUUAUAUCUUUCCCAUUUUUUUUUUCCGUUCGUGUGGGCCUCAGGGAGUAGAAAACAACAAGAAAAACAAAAACUCCGACAACAAACAGUAGCACACCAGCACACACACACACUCACAGAUCAAAGAAUACGCACAGAACACCUCCAGAGGUCUCUCUCUCUCUCGCACCUCCUCGCUCUCUUUGGGGUGUUGAUAUUGAAAUAAAAAAAACAUUUUCUUGCCGCCUCACUCGUUUUGUGCUUCAUUUUUUCCCCUCUUCUGAGUAGACGGUUUUUGUUCAUUUUCGUUUGCGGUUUUGCUCUUGUUGUUUUUAUCGCCAUUACUUAUACAUUUCUCUUUCCUCUUACUCUCGUCUUCGCUUAUUAUUAUUAUUGCGCGACGAAGGCGCUGUGCAUGGUCCCUCCUCUUCCUUUAGUUUUGUUUCGAUCGCCUCUCUGACAUCUUGCUGUUUUUCUUGCUCCUUCCUUGAAGCUUCACGUACGCACAAGCAAGCGUCAUCUUGCCAUUGAGGUGUGGGCCCUUCAGCGCACCUUGUCACACAGGGUGCGACGAGACACCUUCAGACACAGGUUCGAACAAAAGUGAAAGGAAAAAAGGAAAAGAAGGAGCCAACCAUAAAGAAACUUGGAAAGCGAGUUGUCUCCAAAGCCGUGCUUUCCUACAUUUUCCUUCCCCUCAUUUUUUUGUGUCUUUUCUUCUUCAGCUCUCUUUUUCUUUUCGUUUGCUUGCGUGCGUGAUUCGUUGCUAUUAUUUUCGUUUUCUAGUCCCUUUUAGCGUUUUUGGUGUUGCAAAUUUCCCUGUGAACCCGGUGCUCGUGUGUGUGUGUGUGUGGUUCAUUUUUUCCUUUCCUUUCCUGUCGUCUUUUGCGCCAGUAUAAAUCCCUCUCUUUUUUUUCUCAGGCCUCCCUCCCUCCCUCCCUCGUCGUCUUUCUCUAUAUUUGUUUUCCGUGUUUGUGUGUGCUGUUUUCCUUUGCUGUUUCUCUCCUUUUCGUCUUUUUUUUGCGUACGUGCGUGUCUUCGCCCGUCUCUCCGUGCCGGUGGGCGAGACUCAGCAAUUCUUUUCAGUAUUAUUAUUUUCAUUUGCGAACGCAGCAACUCGCAUCUGCAUACUUUUUCGCCUUUGUGGAUCUGGUAUCCAUGCCUCCUGUGCGCACCAUGUACACCCGUGAGGAGCUACUGCGGAUUGCAACACUCGCCAGCGCAAUGGACCUGGGCCCAGAGGUGCUGCGCAAGUUCGACGUCAUCGAAGUCGCCGAACCAGUCCCCGCCCCGAAGCGCCGCGAGGCAGAACCGAAUUUCAAGGGCAGCGUGCUGACGGACAACUUCAGCACUAGCACCACGAUCACUAACUCGGGUCCCAACGGUGGUGGCAACAGCGGCGGGAAGGGCGGCCAUAACAGCGGCAUGAACGGCGGCGGCAGCAGCAGCAGCAACCACACUGGCAGCUCCAGCACUCCGGCGUACGGUGCCGGCGGCGGCCGUGGCGGUGACAACCGCCGCGGCGGUGGCGGCAAUGGUGGACGCGAUGACAACAGCAACAGUAACAGUGUGAAGCCGUCCGGGUACGACCGCUUUGCGCCACCCGAGGGACGAUUUAACCGCGGAAAUCGCAAUCAGGAGACCUUUGAGGAGGGCAUCGAGUAUGAGUUGCGGCAGAGCGCACUGCAGAAGAAACGCGUUGCCGAAACGAUGGAGCGCGAGGAUCGCAAGGGAGAGAACCUGAGGCAGGCCCUGGAGAAGUUCAAGCAGGAGGGCACCGACGCCGAGGCCGCAGAAGCGGAGAAGGAGACGGACGAGAUUGAGCGGCUGCUGGCGGGCAUCACAAUGGUCGAUGACGCGCCAAAGGCCGUGGUUCGCUCUCGCUUCUUCUCGGCCCAGGGCCCAACGGCUACCAGCGCCGAGCCUCCGGCGACCAUGCAGCCAUCGCCGCCGCCGCCACAAGCAUCGACGACGCUGUCUUUUGGAGCCCCCGCGAGCAGCAUUGCAUCUUCCACGACAGGCGCGCCACAGGCGAGCGUGCUCCCGACGCCCGCCAACAGUGGAACGCAGGGCUACGCGAGAGGGCCGUGGUCAUCUAUGAAGAGCGACUCUAACCUCUGGAGCACCGCGCCGUCCAUGGCAAGCGCGCUCAAGCAGUCUCUUCAGCACUCCUUGCCUCCGGCGGACGCGUCGCCGUCAGGUCAGAUCAAGCCUCCGCAGCCUGCGUCGCAGCAGUCGCAGCCAUCCAGUUGUCCUGCGAACACUUCUCACCAGGCAAAGAGCAUGGACGCUGCGACUGCGAACGCCUCGGCCAACUCGACCGGUGCGCCGCCCGCCAGCGGGCCAGCCAGCUUUGGCGUUCCCGCGCCUGCACCAGCGAGCCCGCCCGCUCCCACGCAGAGCUCCGUACUCGGCCCUGCGAACGGACAUAGCAGCACCAAUAUCGCCACUGCAAUGGGCGCCAAGACUGGCGCAUCGAGCAGUGCUGGACAGUCGCAGGCGCCUCCUCACACGCCGCCCCAAACUCCGCCUCACAGUCAGUCGCAGCCAUCUCGCCCGGCCCCAGCGACCGCCAUCAAGGCAGCGCCGCGCAGUAGCGGGUCUACCGGCGUUCCCACAGGCGCCUGGUCGGCGGCGGACCUGGAGCUUCUUCUGAAGAAAGGCGCCACCAUGAUCUCAAGCGCCCCGGCACCCCCGCCAAGCACUGCUACACCUGCCACGACGGCGCCGAAGACGCAGCCCAUCACGGCGGCGGAGCUGGAGAGCAUGCUCAUGCAGCGGGCGCGCCAGGGCAGAGGAGCGACCGGCACUGGUAUGAGCACUUUACCUCCCUCGCCUCCUCAGUUUCAGCAGCCACCUCCGCCGCAGCAGGCGCCGCUUCUUUUUGCGAACCCGUCGAAGACGCCGCCGAUGCCGGCGAGCAGCAACCCUACCAGUGCGCCACUCUCCUCGCCACAGCAGCUCCCGGCCAGCAUGAAGAUGGCGCCAAACGGAGCGAUGCUGCAGCCUAAGCAGCCGCAUCAGCAGCAGCAACCGCUGCCUCCGCCGCCGCCGCCGAUGCCGCCACAGAUGCCCGCGCAUUCUCAGCCGCAAUCGCAGCCACAGCCACAGCCGCAGAUGCAGCCUCAGAUGCAACCGCAGCAGCACCAACCACCGUGGAUGGCGAUGCCGCGGCCGCCGCAGGCUCCGCCGGCACCACAGCCUAACGGUAAUGGAAGUCCUAUGCACAACACCCCGCCCCUGCAGCCGCUGGCUGCGAAGAUGCCGCAGCCUGCUCCAAUGAUGCCGAAUGGGCUCCAGAUGCCCAUGCAGAUGAACGCUCAAGGGCAGUACUUUGUGGAUCCGGCGCAGCUGCAGCGAGUGUACAUGACUGGUCAGCCGAUGAUGUUCCGCCGCCCGGACGGGACUGUGUUUAUGCAGGCACAGCCCAUACCUCAACCACAGCCUCAGCAAGCACCGCCUCAGCAGCAGCCACCGUUCAACCCGUUCGGUACGAAUGCGCAGUUUCUCUUCCAGCAGCAGCAGCGCCGCUAGACGAAGAGCCAAGUCAACGCAUCCCAACCUAUGAGCCUCUAUAUCCUCCUCUUUACCCCAUCAGUGGCGUCGUUGAUCACAAUGGAGAGAUCAUCGUUGCAUCGUGCCUUCAGCACUGUGAAGAGUUGAUGGUUGCACGUGAAGCGGUGGCAAUGGCGAAACGACGACAGACUAGCGUGUCGGUGUGUACACUCUUUUUCAGGCACAGCUGUGUUGCUGAAGCGGCUGCACUUUUCUAGUAACAGACAGACACACACAUACUUACAAAGAAAAGGGUCUUAUGAAGGCACUCCACGAAGUACUCCUUCGCCGCUCUCGCACAUCUCUUCCAAAUACAAAGAUGUGUACGCUGCGACCUGCUCUCAUUUUUUUCUCGGCGUUUCUUUUAAACCAGUUUCGUCAAGCCUUUAUUUGCGCCACUCCCUCUUCAUGGCUUGCCGGAGCUGCUCUCCGCCUUUUCUCUGUCUCGCGCAUUUUUUCUUUAAUGAUUCCUCAUGCAGUCUCCUCUUUUCUUUUUCGCAUUUUGCGUGCCCUGCUAUGUCUUGGCACCGUGUUCUUCGACAGAGCGAAGCACCAUGCAAGGAAAAAGAGAGAGGCUCUGGUCGCCCCUUUGGACGACGCGCGACCGGCCACGCAUAUACGCAGAAACGAUAGCACGUGUUUCAUUGCGUGCUUGCUUCCUGUAUGACCCCUGCAAGCGCACAGGCGCUCUUGCGUUCCCGCCUCCCGCAGCACGUGUGUUGUGGUUCUCUCUCUGUUUAUGUUGUAUGAUGGGAGACGACGGAAGGAGGGACGCGUGGAGGACGAGGAGGCACAACCAGGGUAGUCGGCGUCACCACGGAGCGCUGAGAAAGAGGAGGGUGCAGUGGCCAUGGUAGAUUGAAGGGAGAGAGAAUACCAAUCGACGAGAACCAUACAGCAACAGCUGAUACACACACACACACAUACACACACCCAAACACGCGAAAACCGUGCCAGCGAGCAGAAGCAAUGACAAGGGAUUCACGAAAAGGGCGUGGACGGCAAUCGGGUGUGGGGUCGCUUUCUCCUUUCCAUCGUCGCCUCUUCUGCGCCCCUUCCUCUCCUGCGCCUCCCUUUUCUUUCCCUCGUUUCCGCUUUGCCUUCCCCCUCCCCCAUCUGAAAUCGCCGCCCUCACCAUUUUUUUUCCGUUGACGAUGAGCGACGGGUCUCUUUCCUUGUUCGCUUUUUUUUGAUUUUCUCUUUGCAUGUUUGCCUCUGUGGCUUGCACGUGUUUAUUGCCGUGCACUUCUCCUUCCUUUUCUUUUUUUUUUUGCAUGUUUGCCGUCUUUUCGGUGUCCCUCUUUUCGGGGUGUUUGAAAGUGCGAAAAAAAUGUAUGUGUGUGUGCGUUUUCAUGGAUGUAUUUCCGUCUUGUGCCCCCUGUCAUGCCGCUUUCUUUUUUUAUCCCUUCUUUUGUGGUGGCUCUUUCGUGCAUGUGUGUGUGUGUGUGUCUGGGUUUGAGACGCUGGCUCUCUCUGUGUUCAUGAGUCUCCGCGAAUGCAACAUACCCGUUGCUCUCUGUGCGCCAUCGUAGGCGAAAGAAAAAAAGAGGGAGCGAGGUCUCAAGGCGGAGGCAAGGCACGCUAAGUGCACGCACAGACAAUGACGGCUCGCAUGCACGUUCACAAUCCCACGCGCGAGCUGCCGCCGUUUCAAUCUCUCUAUGUGUGCCACUGCUCUGUUCUAACUCGCCUCCUCCUUCCUCGUAAUGAUUGCUUUGUUCUAUGACGCCCCAUUACUUCUCAGGACGGCAUCCUUUCUUUUACCUCUUGUCUUCCUCCUUAUGCACCCGUUUCUCCUCGUCCUUUUUUCCCGCUCCUCUGUUUCUAUGUAUUGCUUCAAGCGUGCCAUCGUUUUCCUGUUCUAUUCUCGUUUCUUUUUGUAAUAUGUUGCAGUGGCGACUCCCGCGCUCUCUCUCUUCCUCCCCGCGCGCGCGUGUGUGUGUGCGCAUGUGUGCUGCUCGCUUUGUUUUCGCUUGCUUUCUUCGCCGCUUUCUGUGCUGGUUUGAUUAUUACGAUCAUGUGUGCUGUGCUGUGUUUCCUUUUUUUUUUGUUGGUGUUUGCUUGCGCUAAUCAUCACAUCUCUGCGUGCAUGUUCAUGACGGUGUGUUUAUCGUCUUCGCCUUUUUUCUUUUUGGUUUCCGUUUCUCCCUCUUGUGUGUUUCUUCUCAUUUUGUCUUCUCUCGUCUUUGCUUUCCGCUCGUACGUGUCUCUGAUUUCUUACUGCGUUGGACGACUGCCCCCUACCCCCUCCCACCCCCUCUCACUCCCUCUCUGUGGCAUCUGUUUUCUCCUCCGCCGUUUCUUGUGUCGCUCUCCGUCUGUUUGUCGUCAGGCGCGCUUUUUUUGUGCGGGGGGAGGGGGAGGGGUGAUAGCAUGCCACGGGCGCCACCUCGGUGCGUGCGCGUUUUUCUAAUUUUCAAUCAUAGGCAAGUACAGUGACCCUCUUUUUCUGCUCCUCAUUGGCGGUUUCGCGUACGCAUCUCUCCCCUUCAUCUGCCUUUCACGCACACUUGCAUGUGCACGCCUGAGAUGACAUCAACAGGUGCAUGCAAACCAACCUUAGCUAUUUUUCUCGUUUUUUGUUCGGUUCUUCUCCAUAUGUCCAUGCGUGCUUGUUGGAGGGGCGAGAACGAGUAGGUGUGCUUCUGCUUGCUAUUCUCGUGCUUGCGUGGUUGUGCUCGUCGAAUUCGCUCUCCUUCCGUGAGACUAUUCUUUUUUCUCUUCUGUCGUUCUUUCCAGUCCCUGUUGCUGCCCGCUCAUUCUCUCCGUUGCAACACACCACCAUCAUCUCCUCUUCUCACAUGCUGAUCUUGCCUCUGCGCCGCUUUUCCAGCGGCACUCUUCGCCGCCUUCCCCAGAAGCCGCUAGAACACUUAUCAUCAUGCUUCCUCUGGUGCAUCAACUGCCUUUACGCUGGCAUGUGAGACGCAACAACUUCCACCCUUCAGUCCCGUCUUUCCUUUUUUGGUCUUUGUGCGUCUUUUUCCUCCUCUUCCCAUCGCUUGUGUUAUUAUUUCGUCUUUUGUUUUUUUUUUUCGUGCGCAUCUCGGAGAAACUCUCUUCUUGCUCCUUUCAGCUGUUUGCCCAUUUUACGUUGCCGGCCUGACUUUUUUCCAUCUCGCCACACACAACUAUACGCCUACAUGUCGUGCGCCUUUCCUCCGCCUUUUCCGCUCCUCACGAAUGCUGUGCGCGUGCACCCCUCGCUUGUCCUCCUCUAUGCUCUCUGCUCUUUCCUUCAUCUGUCACCUUCUUCUGCUGAUUUUGAACCUCGCUGUGAUUGCAGGCGUACGUCGCAUGUGCUGGGACGCAGCCACAAGCAUCGUCACGUUGUCCUCGGCGGCUGUACUCGAAUUGACGCGGGCGCGCGCGUGCAAGAGUGAGCUCUACCACGUACAGAAAAGGAGUUACGCGAACACAGUGGUGGUGGGCGGUGAGGCAGCAAGAGGCCACGAACGUGAAGCAUUAGACGGCGCCCCCUGAGAAAGAAGGAAUCCGCAAAGGCAAACAUCAACAAGAAGCUUCGAAUGCGCACCGCUUUCUCUUCCUCCCGAUCGACUUGUUCAACUGUCGGCGUCUUCGAUCAAUUGUUUCGUAUGCCUAUGUGUGCAUGAAUGCAUAUAUAUGUAUAUGUAUCUGUUUUUCGUCCGCGUGUGUGUGCGCUUGUGUGUGCGCGUGUGUGAGCCUCCCUUCGCUAUUUCUCUUUUGCUUUCCGGCUCAUCUUGGGUUUCUUGCUGUUACUUGCCACUUUUUUUUUCUUUACUGCUUUCUCUUCCCCUUGCCUUUUACCGACCUUUUCAUCCGCGUGAG
Molecule: unclassified non-coding RNA, 12964 nt
Filed under: Leishmania donovani
Lineage: Eukaryota; Euglenozoa; Kinetoplastea; Trypanosomatida; Trypanosomatidae
Description: gene:LdHU3.35.5230(CDS-product:4E-interacting_pro tein_putative)
Source: RNAcentral